Molecule: non-coding RNA, 591 nt
Organism: Oncorhynchus mykiss (rainbow trout)
Lineage: Eukaryota; Metazoa; Chordata; Actinopteri; Salmoniformes; Salmonidae
Source: RefSeq, a predicted model, not a curated record
CAAAUAUAUUACUACUGGAUCCAGAGAUGGCAUCAGUGAAGCUGGAAGACUGCAGUCAAACACUGGAGCUGAAUGUCAACAUUAAAGAUGAUGAAGAGGAAGAGAAGAUUGGGAAAUCUGUUUCUCAUGGAGACCACGUUGAGACAUUCUCUACAUCCAGAGAGCAACAGAGGGAAGAUCACAGAGCUAACAGGUCUCACCACUGCCCACAUUGUGAGGAGAUUUUCCCAAUUCUAUCAAAGCUAAAAAUACACCAAAAAAUACACACAGGACAGAAUCCGUAUUCCUGUAUUGACUGUGGGAAGAGAUUCACAACAUCAGGGAAUCUGACGGUUCAUCAGAGAGUGCACACUGGAGAGAAGCCUUACUCCUGCUCUGACUGUGGGGCGAGUUUCUCUCGACUGGGCCACUUAAAAACACAUGAACAUAUACAUACAGGAGUGAAGCCUUACUUCUGCUCUGAUUGUGUAAAAUGCUUCACAACAUCAGCUGAGCUAAAAGUUCACCAGAGAACACACACAGGAGAGAAGCCUUUCUUCUGCUCUGACUGUGGAAAGAGUUUCUCUCAACUUUCCCACUUAAAAACACAUG